GGGCCCGCACAAGCGGUGGAGCAUGUGGUUUAAUUCGAUGCAACGCGAAAAACCUUACCUACACUUGACAUACUUCGAAUUUUCUAGAGAUAGAUUAGUGCCUUCGGGAGCGAAGAUACAGGUGCUGCAUGGCUGUCGUCAGCUCGUGUCGUGAGAUGUUGGGUUAAGUCCUAUAACGAGCGCAACCCUUACCCUUAUUUGCCAGCGGUUAGGCCGGGAACUAUAAGGGAACUGCCGGUAAUAAGCCGGAGGAAGGUGGGGACGACGUCAAGUCAUCAUGCCCCUUAUGUCCAGGGCUGCACGCAUGCUACAAUGGCAAGUACAACGAGUCGCAAUACCGCGAGGUGGAGCAAAUCUCUUAAAGCUUGUCUCAGUUCGGAUAGGAGUCUGCAACUCGACUCCUUGAAGUUGGAGUCGCUAGUAAUCG
RNAcentral lists this ribosomal RNA (427 nucleotides) under uncultured bacterium. RNAcentral describes it as "bacterial SSU rRNA". It matches the Rfam family "Bacterial small subunit ribosomal RNA", at positions 917 to 1344 of the family's 1533-position model. The record is from RNAcentral.